UUAUCUUUGAGAAAGGAAGAUAUGUUUGAAGAUGAUACAAAAAUUCUAGAGAAUGGAAUGAAGAAGCUCAAUUUGAAGAAAAGACCCACUCAAAAUGAAGAUGAAGGAACAAAAGAUGUUGAGCAAGAGAAGAAUGCUAAACAAGAAGUACUUCAAAGGUAUAGUGAUCUACCCAAAGAGUGGAAGUAUGCAUACAACCAUCCAAGAGAUCUAAUCAUAGGUGAUCUUUCACAAGGGGUAAGAACUAGAUCCU
Molecule: long non-coding RNA, 253 nt
Filed under: Elaeis guineensis (African oil palm)
Lineage: Eukaryota; Viridiplantae; Streptophyta; Magnoliopsida; Arecales; Arecaceae
Description: long non-coding RNA (EGUI_LNC012738)
Source: RNAcentral